This 301-nucleotide ribosomal RNA is filed under the name uncultured bacterium. Its description in RNAcentral is "partial 16S ribosomal RNA". It matches the Rfam family "Bacterial small subunit ribosomal RNA", at positions 509 to 807 of the family's 1533-position model. The record is from RNAcentral.
CAGCCGCCACGGUAAUACGGAGGGGGCUAGCGUUGUUCGGAAUUACUGGGCGUAAAGCGCACGUAGGCGGCUUGGUAAGUUAGAGGUGAAAGCCCGGAGCUCAACUCCAGAAUUGCCUUUAAGACUGCCGAGCUAGCAGGUGAGAGAGGUAAGUGGAAUUCCGAGUGUAGAGGUGAAAUUCGUAGAUAUUCGGAAGAACACCAGUGGCGAAGGCGGCUUACUGGCUCAUACUGGACGCUGAGGUGCGAAAGCGUGGGGAGCAAACAGGAUUAGAUACCCCUGUAGUCCCUGUCUCUUAUAC